Molecule: ribosomal RNA, 435 nt
Filed under: uncultured bacterium
Lineage: Bacteria
Description: partial 16S ribosomal RNA
Rfam family: Bacterial small subunit ribosomal RNA
Source: RNAcentral
AGCGAACGCUGGCGGCAGGCUUAACACAUGCAAGUCGAACGGGCAUCUUCGGAUGUCAGUGGCAGACGGGUGAGUAACACGUGGGAACGUACCCUUCGGUUCGGAAUAACUCAGGGAAACUUGAGCUAAUACCGGAUACGCCCUUUUGGGGAAAGGUUUACUGCCGAAGGAUCGGCCCGCGUCUGAUUAGCUUGUUGGUGGGGUAACGGCCUACCAAGGCGACGAUCAGUAGCUGGUCUGAGAGGAUGAUCAGCCACACUGGGACUGAGACACGGCCCAGACUCCUACGGGAGGCAGCAGUGGGGAAUAUUGGACAAUGGGCGCAAGCCUGAUCCAGCCAUGCCGCGUGAGUGAUGAAGGCCUUAGGGUAGUAAAGCUCUUUUGUCCGGGACGAUAAUGACGGUACCGGAAGAAUAAGCCCCGGCUAACUUCGUG